This 306-nucleotide ribosomal RNA is filed under the name Salmonella enterica. RNAcentral's name for it is "partial 23S ribosomal RNA". It matches the Rfam family "Bacterial large subunit ribosomal RNA", at positions 161 to 505 of the family's 2925-position model. Lineage: Bacteria; Pseudomonadati; Pseudomonadota; Gammaproteobacteria; Enterobacterales; Enterobacteriaceae. The record is from RNAcentral.
AAUCCAUAGGUUAAUGAGGCGAACCGGGGGAACUGAAACAUCUAAGUACCCCGAGGAAAAGAAAUCAACCGAGAUUCCCCCAGUAGCGGCGAGCGAACGGGGAGGAGCCCAGAGCCUGAAUCAGCAUGUGUGUUAGUGGAAGCGUCUGGAAAGGCGCGCGAUACAGGGUGACAGCCCCGUACACAAAAGCGCAUGUGCUGUGAGCUCGAUGAGUAGGGCGGGACACGUGGUAUCCUGUCUGAAUAUGGGGGGACCAUCCUCCAAGGCUAAAUACUCCUGACUGACCGAUAGUGAACCAGUACCGUG